UGGAGAGUUCAUAUCGAUAAAUGUGUUUGCGACCUCGAUGUUGGAUUAAAUUUAAUUGUGGGGUAGGUUUUGCAAUGUUAGGUCUGUUCGACCUUUAAAAUUUUACAUGAUCUGAGUUCAAAUCGGCGUGAGCCAGAUUGGUUUCUAUCUUUUCUUUAUUAAAUUUAAUUAGUACGAAAGGACUUUUAUGAUUGUAAUAUUUAUU
RNAcentral lists this ribosomal RNA (205 nucleotides) under Achilidae gen. 1 sp. n. 1 SX-2018. RNAcentral describes it as "large subunit ribosomal RNA". The stretch from base 1 to 150 matches the Rfam family "Bacterial large subunit ribosomal RNA", at positions 2492 to 2643 of the family's 2925-position model. The record is from RNAcentral. Lineage: Eukaryota; Metazoa; Arthropoda; Insecta; Hemiptera; Achilidae.